GAUGAACGCUGGCGGCGUGCCUAAUACAUGCCAGUCGAACGAAAAGACGCGGCUCUUGCUCCGCUCUCGAUAGCCGCAGGCGGGAGAGUCACACGUGUAUAACGUCCCUAUCAGUCUGGGAUCACUACGGAACACCGGCGCUUAUCCGAGAUAAUAUCCUGAACCGUGUGGGUCAAUGGUGAGAUACGGCUUUGCUGGCUCUACUCGCUGGUUACGCGCUGCAUGAGCUAGUCGGUAAGGUCACGGCUUACGAAGGCUACGAUGCGUAGCCGAACGGAGAGGGUGGUAGGCCACAUGAGAACGGAGACACGGUCCAGACGACUACGGGAGGCAGCAGUAGGGAAUCGUCCGCAAUGGGCGAAAGCAUGACGGAGCAACGCCGAGUGAGUGAUGAAGGUGUUGGGAUCGUAAAACUCUGUUAUUAGGGAAGAACAAAUGUGGAAUGAACUAUGCACGGCUUGACGGUACCGAAUCAGAAAGCCACGGCUAACUACGUG
RNAcentral lists this ribosomal RNA (497 nucleotides) under uncultured bacterium. RNAcentral describes it as "partial 16S ribosomal RNA". It matches the Rfam family "Bacterial small subunit ribosomal RNA", at positions 28 to 507 of the family's 1533-position model. The record is from RNAcentral.